CGAUGAACCACUUCGGUGGGGAUUAGUGGCGAACGGGUGAGUAACACGUGGGCAAUCUGCCCUUCACUCUGGGACAAGCCCUGGAAACGGGGUCUAAUACCGGAUAAUACUCUCGCAGGCAUCAGUGAGGGUUAAAAGCUCCGGCGGUGAAGGAUGAGCCCGCGGCCUAUCAGCUUGUUGGUGAGGUAAUGGCUCACCAAGGCGACGACGGGUAGCCGGCCUGAGAGGGCGACCGGCCACACUGGGACUGAGACACGGCCCAGACUCCUACGGGAGGCAGCAGUGGGGAAUAUUGCACAAUGGGCGAAAGCCUGAUGCAGCGACGCCGCGUGAGGGAUGACGGCCUUCGGGUUGUAAACCUCUUUCAGCAGGGAAGAAGCGAAAGUGACGGUACCUGCAGAAGAAGCGCCGGCUAACUACGUGCCAGCAGCCGCGGUAAUACGUAGGGCGCAAGCGUUGUCCGGAAUUAUUGGGCGUAAAGAGCUCGUAGGCGGCUUGUCACGUCGGGUGUGAAAGCCCGGGGCUUAACCCCGGGUCUGCAUUCGAUACGGGCUAGCUAGAGUGUGGUAGGGGAGAUCGGAAUUCCUGGUGUAGCGGUGAAAUGCGCAGAUAUCAGGAGGAACACCGGUGGCGAAGGCGGAUCUCUGGGCCAUUACUGACGCUGAGGAGCG
RNAcentral lists this ribosomal RNA (671 nucleotides) under Streptomyces sp. YIM 68023. Its description in RNAcentral is "bacterial SSU rRNA". It matches the Rfam family "Bacterial small subunit ribosomal RNA", at positions 67 to 755 of the family's 1533-position model. The record is from RNAcentral. Lineage: Bacteria; Bacillati; Actinomycetota; Actinomycetes; Kitasatosporales; Streptomycetaceae.